RNAcentral lists this long non-coding RNA (252 nucleotides) under Solanum tuberosum (potato). RNAcentral's name for it is "long non-coding RNA (STUB_LNC003898)". The record is from RNAcentral. Lineage: Eukaryota; Viridiplantae; Streptophyta; Magnoliopsida; Solanales; Solanaceae.
UUCUUUCAUUUAUGGGGUAGGUGUCAAAGUCCUUCUUUCGUUCUUGCGUGAAAGUUAUGUGAUUUCCAUGUCUUACUUCUUAAAAAUUGUUAUAAUGAUUAGCGUAUGUUUAAACAUUUAGGCAUGUUUAGUAUCGCAUAAGUCGUUUACUGCUUGUUUAGUCAUAGGAGAGCAUGUGAUGUAUUUUUCUAUUUUUGUUUGGAGUCACUGUUAGUUCUAAAAGAAGGGAAAAUAUUAGUUUAUUCAUAUUUG